GAUGAACGCUGGCGGCGUGCCUAAUACAUGCCAGUCGAGCGAACGGACGAGAAGCUUGCUUCUCUGAUGUUAGCGGCGGACGGGUGAGUAACACGUGGAUAACCUACCUAUAAGACUGGGAUAACUUCGGGAAACCGGAGCUAAUACCGGAUGAUAUUUUGAACCGCAUGGUUCAAAAGUGAAAGACGGUCUUGCUGUCACUUAUAGAUGGAUCCGCGCUGCAUUAGCUAGUUGGUAAGGUAACGGCUUACCAAGGCAACGAUGCAUAGCCGACCUGAGAGGGGGAGCGGCCAAACGGGAACGGAGAAACGGGCAAGAAUGCUACGGGAGGGAGGAAGAGGGAAUAUUCCGCAAUGGGCGAAAGGAUUGAGGAACACAGAAGCGAGAGAAAAGAAGGUAUUCAGAUAGUAAAACUCUUUUUGUAGGUAAGAAAAAAGGUGGAAGGAAAUAUGCACGUCCUGAAGGGACCUAAUCAGAAAGACACGGGACAACAAGGG
This 497-nucleotide ribosomal RNA is filed under the name uncultured bacterium. RNAcentral describes it as "partial 16S ribosomal RNA". It matches the Rfam family "Bacterial small subunit ribosomal RNA", at positions 28 to 507 of the family's 1533-position model. The record is from RNAcentral.